UCUUUAUAAGUAUAAAGUCUGUGUAUAUCUGAUUUCCAAUCAGGGGGAUUGCUCGCUAAAAGCAAAUAGAGAA
RNAcentral lists this transfer RNA (73 nucleotides) under Ophioleila elegans. RNAcentral describes it as "tRNA-Gly". Lineage: Eukaryota; Metazoa; Echinodermata; Ophiuroidea; Amphilepidida; Hemieuryalidae. The record is from RNAcentral.